AUGACCUUUUUCGGCACCAAUGGGAAGCGAAGCCCAUGGAGGAGCAAUAAUUACCCAGAGACCAAGAUUAAAAACACAGUGUAUUUUCACAUUCAGAUUUUCAGCUUCCUGCUAAUUAGUGCCACAGUCAUAGUGUCCAAUGGAGAAAUUGUGCUCACUCAGUCUCCAACAACCAUGGCUACAUCUCCUGGGAAGAAGGUCACCAUCACCUGCCGUGCGAGCUCCAGUGUAAGCUACAUGCACUGGUACCAGAAGUCAGGCACCGCUCCCAAACUCUGGAUUUAUGGCACAUCCAACCGGGCUUCUGGAGUCCCAGAUCGCUUCAGUGGCAGUGGGUCUGGGACCUCUUAUUCUCUCACAAUCAGCUCCAUGGAGGCUGAAGAUGCUGCUACUUAUUACUGCCAGCAGUGGGAUAGUAUCCCACUCACACAGUGAUACAGACUAGAACAAGAACCCUUUAUCUCCCC
Molecule: non-coding RNA, 467 nt
Organism: Rattus norvegicus (Norway rat)
Lineage: Eukaryota; Metazoa; Chordata; Mammalia; Rodentia; Muridae
Source: the annotation of a RefSeq genome assembly